Molecule: ribosomal RNA, 253 nt
Filed under: uncultured bacterium
Lineage: Bacteria
Description: partial 16S ribosomal RNA
Rfam family: Bacterial small subunit ribosomal RNA
Source: RNAcentral
UACGUAGGGGGCAAGCGUUGUCCGGAAUCAUUGGGCGUAAAGAGCGUGUAGGCGGUCUGUCGCGUCUGCUGUGAAAAUCCGGGGCUCAACCCCGGACUUGCAGUGGGUACGGGCAGACUAGAGUGUGGUAGGGGAGACUGGAAUUCCUGGUGUAGCGGUGAAAUGCGCAGAUAUCAGGAGGAACACCGAUGGCGAAGGCAGGUCUCUGGGCCGCUACUGACGCUGAGAAGCGAAAGCAUGGGGAGCGAACAGG